GUAUCGGUGGUUUAGUGGUAGAAUGCUCGCCUGCCACGCGGGCAUCCCGGGUUCGUUUCCCGGCCCACGCC
Non-coding RNA from Haemonchus contortus (barber pole worm), 71 nucleotides. NCBI's taxonomy places the organism in Eukaryota, Metazoa, Nematoda, Chromadorea, Rhabditida, Trichostrongylidae. The record is from Rfam.